CACGUAGUUAGCCGUGGCUUUCUUGAAUGGUACAGUCAAUCUCUAAUCAUUUCCUAUUAGAGCCGUUCUUCCCAAACAACAGAACUUUACAAUCCAGAGGACCGUCACCGUUCACGCGGCAUUGCUCGUUCAGGGUUUCCCCCAUUGACGAAUAUUCCUAACUGCUGUCUCCCGUAGGAGUCUGGGCCGUGUCUCAGUCCCAGUGUGGCCGAUCAACCUCUCAGUUCAGCUAUGCAUCGUUGACUUGGUAGGCUCUUACCCCACAACUAUCUAAUGCACCGCAGGCCCAUCUCUUAGCGAAGCUUUAAAGGCUUACCUUUAAUCCGUAGAUCACUAUUCGGUAAUUAACAAUUCGUUUACCAAUUGGUAUCCCAUCUAAGAGGUAGUAACCACGUGUUACUCUACCGUUUGCCACGUAGGUAGGUAAAUUCCACGUUCCUUCUUCUUUUCCACUUCUCG
RNAcentral lists this ribosomal RNA (459 nucleotides) under uncultured bacterium. RNAcentral's name for it is "partial 16S ribosomal RNA". The record is from RNAcentral.